This 34-nucleotide small RNA is filed under the name Bombyx mori (domestic silkworm). RNAcentral's name for it is "ovarian small RNA-10855". The record is from RNAcentral. Lineage: Eukaryota; Metazoa; Arthropoda; Insecta; Lepidoptera; Bombycidae.
AAUGUCGGCGGUUCGAUCCCGUCAGCGCCCACCA